UACGUAGGUGGCAAGCGUUGUCCGGAAUCAUUGGGCGUAAAGCGCGCGUAGGCGGCCCGGUAAGUCCGCUGUAAAAGUCCAGGGCUCAACCCUGGAACGCCGGUGGAUACUGUCGGGCUAGAGUCCGGAAGAGGCGAGUGGAAUUCCUGGUGUAGCGGUGGAAUGCGCAGAUAUCAGGAGGAACACCGAUGGCGAAGGCAGCUCGCUGGGACGGUACUGACGCUGAGGCGCGAAAGCGUGGGGAGCGAACAGG
Molecule: ribosomal RNA, 253 nt
Filed under: uncultured bacterium
Lineage: Bacteria
Description: partial 16S ribosomal RNA
Rfam family: Bacterial small subunit ribosomal RNA
Source: RNAcentral